AACGAACGCUGGCGGCAGGCUUAACACAUGAAAGUCGAACGCAUCGCAAGAUGUGUGGCAGACGGGUGAGUAACGAGUGGGAACAUACACUUUUCUACGGAAUAGCUCUGGGAAACUGGAAUUCAUACCGUAUCUGCCCUCCGGGGGCAAGAUUUACCGGGGAAGGAUUGGCCAGCGUUGGAUUAGCUAGUUGGUGGGGUAAAGGCCUACCAAGGCGACGAUCAAUAGCAGGUCUGAGAGGAUGAUCAGCCACAUUGGGACUGAGAACACGGCCCAAACUCCUACGGGAGGCAGCAGUGGGGAAUAUUGGACAAUGGGCGCAAGCCUGAUCCAGCCAUGCCGCGUGAGUGAUGAAGGCCUUAGGGUUGUAAAGCUCUUCCACCGAUGAAGAUAAUGACGGUAGUCGGAGAAGAAGCCCCGGCUAACUUCGUGCCAGCCGCCGCAGUAA
This 448-nucleotide ribosomal RNA is filed under the name uncultured bacterium. Its description in RNAcentral is "partial 16S ribosomal RNA". It matches the Rfam family "Bacterial small subunit ribosomal RNA", at positions 29 to 523 of the family's 1533-position model. The record is from RNAcentral.